RNAcentral lists this ribosomal RNA (354 nucleotides) under uncultured bacterium. RNAcentral's name for it is "bacterial SSU rRNA". It matches the Rfam family "Bacterial small subunit ribosomal RNA", at positions 335 to 683 of the family's 1533-position model. The record is from RNAcentral.
ACUCCUACGGGAGGCAGCAGUGGGGAAUAUUGCACAAUGGGGGAAACCCUGAUGCAGCCAUGCCGCGUGUGUGAAGAAGGCCUUCGGUUGUAAAGCACUUUCAGUAGGGAGGAAGGUAGUGUAGUUAACACCUGCAUUAUUUGACGUUACCUACAGAAGAAGCACCGGCUAACUCCGUGCCAGCAGCCGCGGUAAUACGGAGGGUGCGAGCGUUAAUCGGAAUUACUGGGCGUAAAGCGCAUGCAGGCGGCCUGUUAAGUCAGAUGUGAAAGCCCGGGGCUUAACCUCGGAAUUGCAUUUGAAACUGGCAGGCUAGAGUCUGUAGAGGGGGUAGGAAUUUCAGGUGUAGCGGUG